RNAcentral lists this unclassified non-coding RNA (2265 nucleotides) under Ceratitis capitata (Mediterranean fruit fly). Its description in RNAcentral is "oxysterol-binding protein-related protein 9, transcript variant X3". The record is from RNAcentral. Lineage: Eukaryota; Metazoa; Arthropoda; Insecta; Diptera; Tephritidae.
CAACAACUGCUCCACUGGCUGUAGAUGUGCCUGAAACCUCUUAUUCCAGCAGCGAAGAUGAGGAGGAUUUCUAUGAUGCAAACGAUGAUCCCUUCACCAGUAUGGGAAACUCGCCGAGCUACGCCACGCGUGGCUUUUCAGUGGAAACAUCAUCGCCAACAUAUGAGAAUGCAGCGGACACACUACCGUCAAAAGGUGGCGGCGCCUCAUUGGAUGCCAGCGCCAAAUCAUCCAUUGUUGAUCGACAGGAUGAUUAUCAGAAUGCGUUGACAGCGGUUUCGGAGAGUUUGAAUGCCGGUUCGCCGACAAGUGCAACAGGAUCAGCAGCAGCGCCACGACUAAGUAUCGAUAAAACAUUCCAGAAAUAUGGUGAGGAUGAUGCCAUCGAUUAUGAUGCACUCUACGAGGAGGAAGAAGACUCGACAAUUAGUAUGGAGGCGCAUGGUUCAAUGAUUUCCCAUCUAAUAUCACAAGUCAAAAUCGGCAUGGACUUGACGAAAGUCGUAUUGCCGACAUUUAUAUUGGAACGACGCUCUUUGCUGGAGAUGUAUGCAGAUUACUUUGCGCAUCCAGAUCUUUUUCUAAGAAUUGCUGAGAUGGAAACACCACGUGAGCGUAUUGUAGAAACUUGUCGUUGGUAUCUGAGUGCCUAUCAUGCCGGACGUAAGAGCGCUGUUGCCAAAAAACCUUAUAAUCCCAUAUUGGGUGAGGUAUUCCAGUGCUAUUGGGAUUUGCCAGACGAAACACCCGACGAAAAUGUAGUCAAUGAUGGCCCAGUGCCAUGGUGUCAUCGAAAUCAACUGACAUUCUUGGCCGAACAGGUUUCGCAUCAUCCGCCAAUUUCCGCCUUCUAUGCUGAGCAUGUCAAUAAGAAAAUUACAUUUUCCGCGCAUGUUUGGACUAAAUCAAAAUUCUUAGGUCUCUCAAUUGGUGUGCACAAUAUCGGUGAAGGUAUUGUCACACUUGUGGAACAUAGUGAGGAAUAUAUUGUUACAUUUCCAAAUGGCUAUGGCAGAUCUAUUUUAACCGUCCCUUGGAUCGAAUUGGGUGGCACUGUGGAGAUACGUUGCCCGCAGACUGGUUAUCAUGCCACAAUUGAGUUUUUAACAAAACCAUUUUAUGGCGGCAAGCGCAACAAAGUGACGGCAGAGAUUUAUGCGCCAAAUGAAAAGAAACCAUUUGUCUCGAUAGCUGGCGAGUGGAGCGGUCUGAUGGAAGCCAAAUGGCAUGAUAAAAAUAAAACUGAAGUAUUCGUAGACGUAAAUCGUAUACCAAUAUUUAAGAAACAAGUUCGACCAAUCGUUGAACAAGAAGAAUAUGAAUCCAGACGCGUUUGGAAGGAAGUGACAGCGGGACUCAAAUUUAACGAUAUCGAAAAGGCCACAAAUGCAAAAUGUGCUGUUGAGCAAAUACAGCGGGACCAAGCGAAGAAUCGUAAAGAAAAUGAAACACAGUGGGAGCAUAAGUAUUUCCGGCCCGUCGGCGAAAACUGGAUCUACACCAAGCCACUUAGUCAGCGUGUUUAUCAGCAAGAGAAGGAGAGCAAAAGAUAAUAAAGAAAUAUCGACAACCAACCACAAAGCACCGAAACUCCGGCGACAAGUUAAAAUAAGGUGGAGGAAGAAGAAGAAUGAGAUUACAACUAAACUAUUGAACUGGUAUAAACGUAAAAGUAGCAAUAUACCGUUUCGUGAAGAUGAGUCAAGCAAAUAGACACACAAGCAUACUUUCAUAUCAAAAGCAGCAAAAGAAGCCUUUGAGCACUAUUGUCAAGCUUGUUGCAAAACAAAAAAAAAAUCUUUAAAAUUAUAAUGCCAACACUUUCGAAUGCAACACAAUGCAACGCGAAUGUCACAAAUGGACAACGAAUAAAAAGGGAAACACCAUUAAAGGGAGCAAAGUGAACGAAAUGAACGUUGCUCUAAGACACUGAAAACUAUUUUUGAAUCACCUUUGUACUGCACUCUACACAAAUGUGCCGUUUUUUGCUACAAACAACAAUAACUCUUCUCAUUUUGCACAAUAAGAAGCACUUAACUCGUUUAUUUGUAAACUAUAAUUUAUGAUUUACUCUGAAACUCCUCUGUUUAAGCGCCGGAGAUUUAUUGUAAUUAUUAAAUAUGAAUUCUUACCGCAAGUUAAACUUACAAGCAUACAUAAAUAUAUAUGCCUAAAUAGUGUACUAUGAUUAUUUCAAAUACCAGUAUGAACAUGCGCAUGCGUACGCAUGUAUUAGGUAAACAAUUUAUAAUUAAAAAAAAAAAA